UUGCGACGCUCGUCCUCAUCAUCAUCCCCACCAAUUCAAGAAACCGAAUCCGGUGGUUGGCGGCGGCGCCGACGAAGGGAUCGAGGCUGUCCGGAAGAAGAUCAUGCUCGAUUUGAAGACGGCUGCCGAUAGGAUGAAACAGCAGAUUCUGAGGAAAGAAGUCGGCGUCGAGGAGGACGAGGAUGAGGACGUCGAACAAGGUCGCCGCGAGGAACGGCGGAGAUCCUCGCCGGAGGAAAGAAGUCGGUGUCGAGGAGGACGAGGAUGAGGACGUCGAGCAAGGUCGCCGCGAGGAACGGCGGAGAUCCUCGCCGCCGGCA
RNAcentral lists this long non-coding RNA (320 nucleotides) under Linum usitatissimum (flax). RNAcentral's name for it is "long non-coding RNA (LUSI_LNC001042)". The record is from RNAcentral. Lineage: Eukaryota; Viridiplantae; Streptophyta; Magnoliopsida; Malpighiales; Linaceae.